Molecule: ribosomal RNA, 118 nt
Filed under: Pteropus alecto (black flying fox)
Lineage: Eukaryota; Metazoa; Chordata; Mammalia; Chiroptera; Pteropodidae
Source: RNAcentral
GUCUAUGCCAUGCCACCCUGAACAUGCGAGAUCUCGUCUGAUCUCAGAAGCUAAGCAGGGUGGGUCCUGAUUAGUACUUGAAUGGGAGACCACGUAGGAAGACCAGGUGCUGUAGGAU